Molecule: ribosomal RNA, 467 nt
Filed under: uncultured bacterium
Lineage: Bacteria
Description: bacterial SSU rRNA
Rfam family: Bacterial small subunit ribosomal RNA
Source: RNAcentral
GGACGAACGCUGGCGGCGUGCCUAACACAUGCAAGUCGAACGGGGUAGAGAGCUUCGGUUUUCUACUUAGUGGCGAACGGGUGAGUAACGCGUGAGGAACCUGCCUUCCAGUGGGGGACAACAGUUGGAAACGACUGCUAAUACCGCAUAACAUACACGGACCGCAUGAUCUGUGUAUCAAAGCUUUAUGUGCUGGAAGAUGGCCUCGCGUCUGAUUAGCUAGUUGGUGGGGUAACGGCUCACCAAGUCAACGAUCAGUAGCCGGUCUGAGAGGAUGAACGGCCACAUUGGGACUGAGAUACGGCCCAGACUCCUACGGGAGGCAGCAGUGGGGAAUAUUGGGCAAUGGGGGAAACCCUGACCCAGCAACGCCGCGUGAAGGAAGAAGGCCCUCGGGUUGUAAACUUCUUUUAGCAGGGACGAAGAACGUGACGGUACCUGCAGAAAAAGCAACGGCUAACUACGUG